UAGAGCUAAUACAUGCUGUUCUGCCCGACUUACGAAGGGCCGUAUUUAUUAGAUAUCAGCCAAUAAGCAUCCGCUAUUGUGGUGACUCAUAGUAACUUAAUCGGAUCGCAUGGGCUCGUCCCGCGACAAACCAUUCAAGUUUCUGCCCCAUCAUGCUUUCGAUGGUAGUGUAUUGGACUACCAUGGCUUUCACGGGUAACGGAGGAUUAGGGUUCGAUUCCGGAGAGGGAGCCUGAGAAACGGCUACCACUUCCACGGAAGGCAGCAGGCGCGUAAAUUACCCAAUCCUAAUUCAGGGAGGUAGUG
Molecule: ribosomal RNA, 306 nt
Filed under: uncultured Spirotrichea
Lineage: Eukaryota; Ciliophora; Spirotrichea
Description: SSU rRNA
Rfam family: Eukaryotic small subunit ribosomal RNA
Source: RNAcentral